RNAcentral lists this long non-coding RNA (212 nucleotides) under Elaeis guineensis (African oil palm). RNAcentral describes it as "long non-coding RNA (EGUI_LNC070823)". The record is from RNAcentral. Lineage: Eukaryota; Viridiplantae; Streptophyta; Magnoliopsida; Arecales; Arecaceae.
UCAGAUGAAUCUGUCGAGCCGACCCCGCCUGAUGAGCUCCUCGAUUUUGUCUCAGAGCUGAAUACACUCCUCCGUGUCGUGGCUGUGGUCACGAUGAUAGAGGUAGAAUUUGUUUGGGUUGCGCUUCCCGAGGUACGAGCGCAUCCUUUCCGACCUCGGUAGUUUUUUCCUGACCUCCAUUAGCACUUGGGCUUUUGGAGCAUUGAGAGGGG